RNAcentral lists this transfer RNA (65 nucleotides) under Neoperlops gressitti. Its description in RNAcentral is "tRNA-Glu". It matches the Rfam family "tRNA". Rfam says of the family: Transfer RNA (tRNA) molecules are approximately 80 nucleotides in length. Their secondary structure includes four short double-helical elements and three loops (D, anti-codon, and T loops). Lineage: Eukaryota; Metazoa; Arthropoda; Insecta; Plecoptera; Perlidae. The record is from RNAcentral.
AUUUAUAUAGUUUAACCAAAACCUUACACUUUCAUUGUAAAAAUAAGGGUCGUCCUUUAUAAAUU